GGGGGAGCAUAAACUGCAGUCGAGCGAGCUUGCCUAGAUGAUUUCAGUGCUUGCACUAAAUGAAACUAGAUACAAGCGAGCGGCGGACGGGUGAGUAACACGUGGGUAACCUGCCCAAGAGACUGGGAUAACACCUGGAAACAGAUGCUAAUACCGGAUAACAACACUAGACGCAUGUCUAGAGUUUGAAAGAUGGUUCUGCUAUCACUCUUGGAUGGACCUGCGGUGCAUUAGCUAGUUGGUAAGGUAACGGCUUACCAAGGCAAUGAUGCAUAGCCGAGUUGAGAGACUGAUCGGCCACAUUGGGACUGAGACACGGCCCAAACUCCUACGGGAGGCAGCAGUAGGGAAUCUUCCACAAUGGACGAAAGUCUGAUGGAGCAACGCCGCGUGAGUGAAGAAGGGUUUCGGCUCGUAAAGCUCUGUUGGUAGUGAAGAAAGAUAGAGGUAGUAACUGGCCUUUAUUUGACGGUAAUUACUUAGAAAGUCACGGCUAACUACGUGCCAGCAGCCGCGGUAAUACGUAGGUGGCAAGCGUUGUCCGGAUUUAUUGGGCGUAAAGCGAGUGCAGGCGGUUCAAUAAGUCUGAUGUGAAAGCCUUCGGCUCAACCGGAGAAUUGCAUCAGAAACUGUUGAACUUGAGUGCAGAAGAGGAGAGUGGAACUCCAUGUGUAGCGGUGGAAUGCGUAGAUAUAUGGAAGAACACCAGUGGCGAAGGCGGCUCUCUGGUCUGCAACUGACGCUGAGGCU
This 750-nucleotide ribosomal RNA is filed under the name uncultured bacterium. Its description in RNAcentral is "bacterial SSU rRNA". It matches the Rfam family "Bacterial small subunit ribosomal RNA", at positions 40 to 753 of the family's 1533-position model. The record is from RNAcentral.